This 314-nucleotide ribosomal RNA is filed under the name uncultured bacterium. Its description in RNAcentral is "partial 16S ribosomal RNA". It matches the Rfam family "Bacterial small subunit ribosomal RNA", at positions 499 to 807 of the family's 1533-position model. The record is from RNAcentral.
UUAUAAGAGACAGCAGUAGCCGCGGUAAUACGUAGGGUGCGAGCGUUAAUCGGAAUUACUGGGCGUAAAGCGUGCGCAGGCGGUUCGUUAAGACAGAUGUGAAAUCCCCGGGCUUAACCUGGGAACUGCAUUUGUGACUGGCGAGCUAGAGUAUGGCAGAGGGGGGUAGAAUUCCACGUGUAGCAGUGAAAUGCGUAGAGAUGUGGAGGAAUAUCGAUGGCGAAGGCAGCCCCCUGGGCCAAUACUGACGCUCAUGCACGAAAGCGUGGGGAGCAAACAGGAUUAGAUACCCGUGUAGUCCCUGUCUCUUAUAC